RNAcentral lists this long non-coding RNA (1471 nucleotides) under Gossypium barbadense (sea-island cotton). Its description in RNAcentral is "long non-coding RNA (GBAR_LNC023448)". The record is from RNAcentral. Lineage: Eukaryota; Viridiplantae; Streptophyta; Magnoliopsida; Malvales; Malvaceae.
GCAAAACUCACUUGCUAUAUUUUUCUCUCUUUUGCUUCAAUACUCUUCCAUGGCUUCUUCUUCUUCUUCAUCUUCUACUCUAAUGAAGUAUCAUGUUUUCCUUAGCAGAAUACCCUUAAAUUAUAAUAGCAUAAGGAAAAAAAUUAAAAUAACUAGAAUAUUCUUAGCAAAAUUUUUUUUAGGUAGAUAAUUAUUGUUACUGUUAUUAAAUUUUAAUAAGAUUAUUAAUAUAAAUAAUAAAUAAUUUAAUCAUAUGUUAUAAAAAAGUUGACGAAUAUUGGGUUUGAAAGUGCUUCUGAAGAAUUGGUUGGAAUAGAAUAUCAGAAAAGGACGAUUUUUAAGCUGAUUAAGCAAAAAGACUGUCGUGUAAUAGGACAUCGGGGAAUGGGUGGUCAAGGCAAAUCAACCCUUGCUGAGGCUGUAUAUAAAAAACUCUCUUCAGAGUUUGAAACUCAUUGCUUUCUUCAAAAUGUUAGAGAGUAAAUAAAAAAAACAAGGGAAGGAAUCUUUACAAAAUAAAUUUCUUUUGGAAUUAUUGAACUCAAAUGUUGAUAUAGGCACCCCCUCCAUUGGAUCCACUUUAACUCAAGAGAGGCUCAACAAGAAGAAAGUACUUGUUGUCCUUGAUGAUGUUGAUGACUCAGACCAAAUAGAUUAUAUGGGUGUUAAACAUUUUGGUUAUGGAAGUAAAACCAUUAUAACAUCAAGAGAUAGACAAGUGCUCGAGAGUGGAGGAGCUGACACAAUACAUGAGGUGAAAGGGUUAAAUGAGAACAAUUCUCUUCAAGUUUUUUCUACCUCUGAGUUUAAGCAGUUGAAUCCCGCAGUUGGUUUUGAAGAUCUAUCCCGUAGGUUUGUAAAGUACACACAAGGCAAUCCACUUGCUCUUAAAGUAAAAGAUAAUGCGGCGUGCAAGUAACACCAGUGUUGACUAAAGGAUAGUUGGCUAAGCUCAAGUCGUUGCCUGUGCUUUUGCCUAGGCCUUCAAUCUCUUUCCCAUUUACACUUUUUCUUCUUACAAUAAUACCACAACCCAAGCAAAACUCACUUGCUAUAUUUGUUCUCUCUUUUGCUUCAAGCACACUAUCAAUACUCUUUCAUGGGUUCUUCUUCUUCAUCUUCUACUCUAAUGAAGUAUCAUGUUUUCUUGAGCUUCAGAGGUGAAGACACGCGCCUUAAUUUCACCACUCACUUACUUCAAGCUUUGAAAGACGAGGGACUUGAUGUUUUCUUCGAUGAAGAAAAACUGGAAAGGGGGGACCAGCUUUCACAAGCACUUUCUCGAGCAAUUGCAGUCUCAAAUAUCUCAAUCAUCGUUUUGUCUGCAGACUAUGCCUCUUCGAAAUCAUGCUUGGUUGAACUCUCUGACAUCAUGGACCGCUAUAGCGUCGGACAACAUACUGUUCGUCCCAUCUUUUACCAUGUUAACCCCUCUGAUGUGGUGAAAAUUGAUGGGAGUUUUAAGAAAUCC